GACGAACGCUGGCGGCGUGCUUAACACAUGCAAGUCGAGCGGUAAGGCCCUUUCGGGGGUACACGAGCGGCGAACGGGUGAGUAACACGUGGGUGACCUGCCCUCAGCUCUGGGAUAAGCCUGGGAAACCGGGUCUAAUACCGGAUAUGACUCCAUGACGCAUGUUGUGGGGUGGAAAGCCUUGUGCGGCUGAGGAUGGGCCCGCGGCCUAUCAGCUUGUUGGUGGGGUGAUGGCCUACCAAGGCGACGACGGGUAGCCGGCCUGAGAGGGCGACCGGCCACACUGGGACUGAGACACGGCCCAGACUCCUACGGGAGGCAGCAGUGGGGAAUCUUGCGCAAUGGGCG
Molecule: ribosomal RNA, 348 nt
Filed under: uncultured bacterium
Lineage: Bacteria
Description: bacterial SSU rRNA
Rfam family: Bacterial small subunit ribosomal RNA
Source: RNAcentral